CGUCCGCGACGUCGAGUAGAUCACUAUGGUAUAUUCAUAUACCCAAAUUGAGCAAUGUAUGAGAAGUUAUUAGCUAGUUUGGUCUAUAUGCUUUAAAAUAAUGUUUUUAUAGUUAAUUCCCAUAUAGGUGAGACUUAUUCCGAGGACGAGCGUAUCCACGGGCGACUUGGGGGCUACGACUCGUCGACAUACCAGUGAGUGGGCUUUUGUUUUCAGUAUAUAAUUAUAUACUUGAUAUAUUUCCCAGAAAUGUGUUUUAAAUGAAAGUAUGCUUUGAAAUAAUAUGCCAAAUGCCUUUAUAUUCUGAAUAUAUAUUUCAUAGUUGCAUAUAUAUAUAGUUGUGGUGCUGUGGAGGCACAUGUAAGUUCAGGUAGUUAAGUUUGAUUAUGUGAACUACGAACGGCUUGAUCCCUGUUUAGGGUACGUAGGUAGCCUAACGAAAUGUUAAGUGCAGCCAUAAAAUAUAUGACAUGAAAUAAAUGAGAUAUAAGUUUAUUUGAAGAAUAUAGUAGCUUGAUGAACAUGUUUGGUUGGAUCUGAGAUGUGACUGAGAAACGAUGAGCUCAUCAACCUGCACCUCAGGUGAUUGCGAUUUCAUUAGAGAGAGUUGGCACAGGCCUGUAAAUUAUGUUACCUCCCGCACCAUAUGCUCACAUUGGAUCCAAUUAGGUGCACAAUCUUGUCGUACUGACUACUAUAGUUGGUUCAGACUUAUAGGUGACUAACGUAUUAUCGCACAGCUAGUAUUGAGAAAGUAAAAUUGAGCAUAACUGUAUCUCACCCAACCUUGUCGUACAUACCCUUUUUAGUGGUUUCGACUUAUGUGCAAUAUAUUGCCGUAUAGGUCAUAAUAGUGACUCCGGCUAGAUUGAGUUGAGCUAUGAAUUCAGCCGUACAAACUACUGAGGAGUUCCGGCUAACAUGUCAUACUUCUAUGAAAUCAUUAUUACCUGGAUUAUUACGUAUUAUAUUUUGGCAUGGCAUACAUAUGAAAAUGAUUAUGUGAAGCAUGAAUUGAAUGGUUAUGAUUUCAGAUAUAUAUAUAUGUAUAUAUGCUUACAUCUUGAUUUUGGGAAAAUAAUACAUGUUUUAUAGCGAGAGGUUAGUUAUGUUAAUAAAUGAAAUGGUUUUGUAAAACAUUUGUUUUUGCCCACUCACGUUUUCUGUUUUGCGCCCCUCCAGGUUUUAAGUAAGAUUGUUGUUGGUGGCUAGAGGACGUCGGCAGUUCUGACUCAUCCAUAUAAUAGUAGGACAUUCCUGGUACUGUAUAACUAGUACUUGUCCUACUGGACUGCACAUAGACUUUAUGUUCUGACUAGGAGUGUUACUGUUGUACUAUACUCCUAUCACUUUAUGUUUAGAAGUGCACUCUAGUAAUCUGGUUUUUAAUUGUUCGUAUAUUUGCUAUCUUUAUCGCUUUCGCACUGUGCACAUGACUACGUCACUCUCACGUGACGGCUAGCAUGUCUUGACCUCGGUCGGGGUGUGUCAUUUAGGGUUAGGAUAAUUUGAUGAGAGGUUUAUCAUUGUACCCGGAACAUGAAACGAAAUACCAUACGUCAUUAAACAAUUGAAGAACUUUUUUUUUAAGUACCUUCAAUUAUAUAAUAACAUAUGAUGUUCCGACUAGGAAACCUAAAAAUCUCUCUAAUUUUAGGAGUAAAAACCGUCAAAGCGCAUGUAAUUUUAGGAUAAUUUUAAGAAUUUACACCAUUGAGCUAUUUGUUGUCUCAACAAAUACAAUUUAGCUCCGUCACUGGUCACACUGAUAAUAAACGGCAGACAUUAUUAAGUGAGGGUUGGAAUAUUAUAUUGGAACUAAGAAGGAUAUUUUUACACGAAAUAAUUUUUGUCACUAUAAUAUUUUAGUAAUCGACAAUAUCUGAAAAAUUCUAUCAAAGCACAAAUAAGUUAAGUGAGUAGUCCACACUUUAUUGUAUUAUUACUAUGGUAUUAUACAACACUACAUGAGCAUUUAGAUGAUACAUGAAUCUUCUUCUUUUUUUAUUUUUUAUUUUUUUAUAAAUUAAUAUUUUAGGCUUCUUCUGAAAAGUGGUUAAUUUUUCUUAAGUGUGGUCAAGUUUAUCUCUGCAUAUCAUAAAUCGGGGAUUGAAGUAUGGACUAUGAACAAUAUCAAUAAUAUGAACGAUGAACCACAAGUUGGUGGUCUAAUGAUAGAGGUGGAUUACGAGAAUUUCUUCAAAUUA
RNAcentral lists this long non-coding RNA (2207 nucleotides) under Malus domestica (apple). Its description in RNAcentral is "long non-coding RNA (MDOM_LNC006181)". Lineage: Eukaryota; Viridiplantae; Streptophyta; Magnoliopsida; Rosales; Rosaceae. The record is from RNAcentral.